Molecule: ribosomal RNA, 641 nt
Filed under: Pseudonocardia sp. I12A-02964
Lineage: Bacteria; Bacillati; Actinomycetota; Actinomycetes; Pseudonocardiales; Pseudonocardiaceae
Description: bacterial SSU rRNA
Rfam family: Bacterial small subunit ribosomal RNA
Source: RNAcentral
GGCGAACGGGUGAGUAACACGUGGGUGACCUGCCCUCAGCUCUGGGAUAAGCCUGGGAAACUGGGUCUAAUACCGGAUAUGACUUGGCCUCGCAUGGGGUUGGGUGGAAAGUUUUUCGGCUGGGGAUGGGCCCGCGGCCUAUCAGCUUGUUGGUGGGGUGAUGGCCUACCAAGGCGACGACGGGUAGCCGGCCUGAGAGGGCGACCGGCCACACUGGGACUGAGACACGGCCCAGACUCCUACGGGAGGCAGCAGUGGGGAAUAUUGCGCAAUGGGCGAAAGCCUGACGCAGCGACGCCGCGUGGGGGAUGACGGCCUUCGGGUUGUAAACCUCUUUCGACCGGGACGAAGCGGAAGUGACGGUACCGGUAGAAGAAGCACCGGCCAACUACGUGCCAGCAGCCGCGGUAAUACGUAGGGUGCGAGCGUUGUCCGGAAUUAUUGGGCGUAAAGAGCUCGUAGGCGGUGUGUCGCGUCGGUCGUGAAAACUUGGGGCUCAACCCUGAGCUUGCGGUCGAUACGGGCAUCACUUGAGUUCGGCAGGGGAGACUGGAAUUCCUGGUGUAGCGGUGAAAUGCGCAGAUAUCAGGAGGAACACCGGUGGCGAAGGCGGGUCUCUGGGCCGAUACUGACGCUGAGGA